Molecule: ribosomal RNA, 253 nt
Filed under: uncultured bacterium
Lineage: Bacteria
Description: partial 16S ribosomal RNA
Rfam family: Bacterial small subunit ribosomal RNA
Source: RNAcentral
UACAGAGGUCUCAAGCGUUGUUCGGAUUCAUUGGGCGUAAAGGGUGUGUAGGUGGCGCGCUAAGUCGGGUGUGAAAUUUCGGAGCUUAACUCCGAAACUGCAUUCGAUACUGGCGUGCUUGAGGACUGGAGAGGAGACUGGAAUUCAUGGUGUAGCAGUGAAAUGCGUAGAGAUCAUGAGGAAGACCAGUGGCGAAGGCGGGUCUCUGGACAGUUCCUGACACUGAGACACGAAGGCGAGGGGAGCAAACGGG